UAAUAGUGUAUAUUAAAGUUGUUGCAGUUAAAAAGCUCGUAGUUGAAUGUUGGUGUCGAACGAGCGGUCAGCUUCGGCUGUACUGCUCUCUCGACUCCUUCCUUCUGUGGACUACGUCGCACUUUACUGUGUGGCGCUAGGACGCAGAUCGUUUACUGUGAAAAAAUUAGAGUGUUCAAAGCAGGCCGUACGCUUGAAUACAUUAGCAUGGAAUAAUGGAAUAGGACGUCGGGUCUAUUUUGUUGGUUCUAGGACCGUCGUAAUGAUUAAUAGGGACAGUUGGGGCCGUUUAUAUUCCGUAGUCAGAGGUGAAAUUCUUGGAUUUACGGAAGAUAAACUACUGCGAAAGCAUUCGGCAAGGAUGUUUUCGUUAA
RNAcentral lists this ribosomal RNA (374 nucleotides) under uncultured eukaryote. Its description in RNAcentral is "partial 18S ribosomal RNA". It matches the Rfam family "Eukaryotic small subunit ribosomal RNA", at positions 592 to 976 of the family's 1831-position model. The record is from RNAcentral.